Molecule: ribosomal RNA, 253 nt
Filed under: uncultured bacterium
Lineage: Bacteria
Description: partial 16S ribosomal RNA
Rfam family: Bacterial small subunit ribosomal RNA
Source: RNAcentral
UACGGGGGGGGCAAGCGUUGUUCGGAAUUACUGGGCGUAAAGGGCUCGUAGGCGGCCAACUAAGUCGGAUGUGAAAUCCCCAGGCUUAACCUGGGAACUGCAUCCGAUACUGGAUGGCUUGAAUUCGGGAGAGGGAUGCAGAAUUCCAGGUGUAGCGGUGAAAUGCGUAGAUAUCAGGAGGAACACCGGUGGCGAAGGCGGGUCUCUGGGCCGAAAUUGACGCUGAGGAGCGAAAGCGUGGGGAGCAAACAGG